Molecule: ribosomal RNA, 492 nt
Filed under: uncultured bacterium
Lineage: Bacteria
Description: partial 16S ribosomal RNA
Rfam family: Bacterial small subunit ribosomal RNA
Source: RNAcentral
AGUGAACGCUGGCGGUAGGCCUAACACAUGCAAGUCGAACGGCAGCACAGUAAGAGCUUGCUCUUACGGGUGGCGAGUGGCGGACGAGUGAGGAAUACAUCGGAAUCUACUUUUUCGUGGGGGAUAACGUAGGGAAACUUACGCUAAUACCGCAUACGACCUACGGGUGAAAGCAGGGGAUCUUCGGACCUUGCGCGAUUGAAUGAGCCGAUGUCGGAUUAGCUAGUUGGCGGGGUAAAGGCCCACCCAGGCGACGAUCCGUAGCUGGUCUGAGAGGAUGAUCGGCCACACUGGAACUGAGACACGGUCCAGACUCCUACGGGAGGCAGCAGUGGGGAAUAUUGGACAAUGGGCGCAAGCCUGAUCCAGCCAUACCGCGUGGGUGAAGAAGGCCUUCGGGUUGUAAAGCCCUUUUGUUGGGAAAGAAAAGCAGCAGGUUAAUACCCCGCUGUUCUGACGGUACCCAAAGAAUAAGCACCGGCUAACUUCGUG